CGUGUAGGCGGUCAGGUAAGUGGGACGUGAAAUGCCUCGGCUCACCCGAGGAGCUGCGCCCCAAACUGCUUGGCUUGAGUAUGGGAGAGGAUGUGGGAAUUCCUGGUGUAGCGGUGAAAUGCGUAGAUAUCAGGAGGAACACCGGUGACGAAGGCGCACAUCUGGCCCAAUACUGACGCUGAGGCGCGAAAGCUAGGGGAGCAAACG
Molecule: ribosomal RNA, 207 nt
Filed under: uncultured bacterium
Lineage: Bacteria
Description: partial 16S ribosomal RNA
Rfam family: Bacterial small subunit ribosomal RNA
Source: RNAcentral